Molecule: ribosomal RNA, 253 nt
Filed under: uncultured bacterium
Lineage: Bacteria
Description: partial 16S ribosomal RNA
Rfam family: Bacterial small subunit ribosomal RNA
Source: RNAcentral
UACGUAGGCAGCAAGCGUUGUUCGGAAUUACUGGGCGUAAAGAGUGUGUAGGCGGUGCUCUAAGUCUGUUGUGAAAUCUCCCGGCUUAACUGGGAGGGUGCGGCGGAAACUGGAGUGCUCGAGUGUGGGAGAGGUAAGCGGAAUUCCUGGUGUAGCGGUGAAAUGCGUAGAUAUCGUAAGGAAGACCAGUGGCGAAGGCGGGUCUCUGGACAGUUCCUGACGCUGAGGCACGAAGGCCAGGGGAGCAAACGGG